GAUCUGUCUGCUAAUCGAGCGAGACACUGAGACUCUCACUAGUCAGGUGAGAUGUGAUUAGGCACUCAUGCGCCCUGGCUGUGUCUUCUUGCGUGACGGCGUGCGCGCGCAGAUGCAAGUGUGUGCGUGUGUGGGUUGGGGAUCCAGCGGGCAGUUCGCACUCAAAGCAAGUCCGUCGCUCAGUAAGUAAUUUUUGAGGGAUGCAUGGCUAGCAAUCCGUCAGAGAGAGCGAGCACAAACAGGUGAGGGCUGCCGAUGGUUGCUGCGGCCCGCACGCGCCAUACCCGGCGCACCCAGCAGUUGUCUUUCUUUGUGAGGGAGGAGUGGCCAUCCGUAAGCCAGCCAUUCUUGGCGUGCUUGGGCCUGGAGCUUGCAAUUUUUCUCCACAAACGAGGAAUGCCUAGUAGCGGUGGGUCACUGAGCCCACCGUGAUUCAGUCCCUGCCCUUUGUACACACCGCCCGUCGCUACUACCGAUUGGGUGUACCAGUGAGAGCCUUGGACUGGCGGCCGUUGCCCCUCGGGCAAGCGGUUUCGACUGAAAGAGGUCCGAACUGGUGCACUUAGAGGAAGUAAAAGUCGUACA
RNAcentral lists this ribosomal RNA (585 nucleotides) under Ampithoidae sp. 5 AM-2019. RNAcentral describes it as "partial small subunit ribosomal RNA". It matches the Rfam family "Eukaryotic small subunit ribosomal RNA", at positions 1308 to 1796 of the family's 1831-position model. Lineage: Eukaryota; Metazoa; Arthropoda; Malacostraca; Amphipoda; Ampithoidae. The record is from RNAcentral.